Molecule: ribosomal RNA, 511 nt
Filed under: uncultured bacterium
Lineage: Bacteria
Description: partial 16S ribosomal RNA
Source: RNAcentral
GGAGUUAGCCGGUGCUUCUUCUGCGAGUAACGUCACAGAUGUAAGGUAUUAACUUACACCCUUUCCUCCUCGCUGAAAGUGCUUUACAACCCGAAGGCCUUCUUCACACACGCGGCAUGGCUGCAUCAGGGUUUCCCCCAUUGUGCAAUAUUCCCCACUGCUGCCUCCCGUAGGAGUCUGGGCCGUGUCUCAGUCCCAGUGUGGCUGAUCAUCCUCUCAGACCCAGCUAGGGAUCGUCGCCUAGGUGAGCCUUUACCUCACCUACUAGCUAAUCCCACCUGGGCUUAUCCAUCAGCGCAAGGCCCGAAGGUCCCCUGCUUUCCCCCGUAGGGCGUAUGCGGUAUUAGCAGUCGUUUCCAACUGUUAUCCCCCACAAAUGGGCAAAUUCCCAGGCAUUACUCACCCGUCCGCCGCUCGUCAUCUUCAAAGCAAGCUUUUGAAAUGUUACCGCUCGACUUGCAUGUGUUAGGCCUGCCGCCAGCGUUCAAUCUGAGCCAGGAUCAAACUCUGA